GAUGAGCGCUGGCGGCGUGCCUAAUACAUGCAAGUCGAGCGAACGGACGAGAAGCUUGCUUUUCUGAUGUUAGCGGCGGACGGGUGAGUAACACGUGGAUAACCUACCUAUAAGACUGGGGUAACUUCGGGAAACCGGAGCUAAUACCGGAUAAUAUUUUGAACCGCAUGGUUCAAAAGUGAAAGACGGUCUUGCUGUCACUUAUAGAUGGAUCCGCGCUGCAUUAGCUAGUUGGUAAGGUAACGGCUUACCAAGGCAACGAUGCAUAGCCGACCUGAGAGGGUGAUCGGCCACACUGGAACUGAGACACGGUCCAGACUCCUACGGGAGGCAGCAGUAGGGAAUCUUCCGCAAUGGGCGAAAGCCUGACGGAGCAACGCCGCGUGAGUGAUGAAGGUCUUCGGAUCGUAAAACUCUGUUAUUAGGGAAGAACAUAUGUGUAAGUAACUGUGCACAUCUUGACGGUACCUAAUCAGAAAGCCACGGCUAACUACGUG
Molecule: ribosomal RNA, 497 nt
Filed under: uncultured bacterium
Lineage: Bacteria
Description: partial 16S ribosomal RNA
Rfam family: Bacterial small subunit ribosomal RNA
Source: RNAcentral